ACAGACUAAAUACUUUUCCUAGAGAGGUGAGAAGUAACACCAGUCAAGAUGGAAACAAAAAUCCUGUGUUGGAUAUUUUUGCUUGGAUAUUUACAUGCAUCCUCUGGACAAGACUUUGGAUCACUGAUACAUCUACGGAUUAAACUAAUUUCAUAUGGAAAUCUCAGCAAUGAAACCAUCAUUGAACUUGUUAAACAGUCCUUUAGAGACAAUCUCCCGGUUGCCCACACAGUCACAGUGACACACAUUCAAAGGACUGGCCAAACAACUACACUCAUAACCACACCUAUGACAACAACACCAAUGAACACAACCACA
Molecule: long non-coding RNA, 318 nt
Organism: Morone saxatilis (striped sea-bass)
Lineage: Eukaryota; Metazoa; Chordata; Actinopteri; Moronidae
Exons: 3
Source: RefSeq, a predicted model, not a curated record